Molecule: non-coding RNA, 109 nt
Filed under: Streptococcus pneumoniae R6
Lineage: Bacteria; Bacillati; Bacillota; Bacilli; Lactobacillales; Streptococcaceae
Also listed under: 1 other name
Description: Streptococcus RNA 266
Rfam family: Streptococcus RNA 266
Source: Rfam by way of RNAcentral
AAUGAGUUGGUUAGACGCUUUUCAUUAUAGGUCAUAUGGGGCUUUUUUCUACAAGAAACGACCCUAUAAUUCCUGGGGUGGGAUUACCCACUACAGAAAUUAUAGAGCC